CGUCCUCGAUCUGCUGGGGGCAGAUGAAGUGGAUGUGACUGUCGAAGCCACCGGCGGUCAGGAUGCGCCCCUCGCCCGCGAUCACCUCGGUCCCCGGCCCGACAUGGAUGUCCACGCCGGACUGCACGUCCGGGUUGCCCGCCUUGCCGAUAUUGGCGAUGCGCCCGUCGCGCAGGCCCACGUCUGCCUUGUAGAUGCCCGUGUGGUCGACGAUCAGCGCGUUGGUGAUGACCGUGUCCAUCGAGCCCUGCGCGCGGCUGGCCUGCCCCUGCCCCAUGCCGUCGCGGAUG
This 290-nucleotide small RNA is filed under the name Palleronia salina. RNAcentral's name for it is "Maribius salinus 5' ureB small RNA". It matches the Rfam family "5' ureB small RNA". The record is from Rfam by way of RNAcentral. Lineage: Bacteria; Pseudomonadati; Pseudomonadota; Alphaproteobacteria; Rhodobacterales; Roseobacteraceae.